UGAAUGUACAGAGCUUUGAUGUGGUCUC
This 28-nucleotide non-coding RNA is filed under the name Bombyx mori (domestic silkworm). The record is from RNAcentral. Lineage: Eukaryota; Metazoa; Arthropoda; Insecta; Lepidoptera; Bombycidae.